Long non-coding RNA from Fukomys damarensis (Damara mole-rat), 1222 nucleotides. RefSeq lists it as uncharacterized. Lineage: Eukaryota; Metazoa; Chordata; Mammalia; Rodentia; Bathyergidae. The transcript is spliced from 5 exons. The record is from RefSeq and is a predicted model, not a curated record.
UGACCACUCUUUCAGUGUUCAGGGGAGCUCCUCUGCAGGGUGGUGACUCUGAAAGUGUUCUUCUACUGCUUGCCUUACUCUUGUGCGCUGCAAAGAACUGGAAGGAACUAAACAAGAAAGCAACACUGGAGGAGGAAUUGGAAGAACAUUCAUUGUCAGAUUGAGAGCAGGCAGGUGGAGGCCUAGAGAGAGGAUUAAAUGAACUUGGCCAACAUAACAACUCUAGCGGUUUCCCCAGCUGGGGGUGGAAGCAUCUCUUAGACCCCCAGGCAUUUGAGGUGAGGAAAUUGCACCUUCAGGCUGUAGUUCGUCAGUUCUUCCUGAGUCUAUCUAAAAAAGCUUGUGGAACUUAAUUCAGAAGACAGACAGUCUAACAAUUUACCUGUGCACCAAAAAAUCAAGAGGACAGCAAUUCAGAAAAAUUUUAAGAAGAAUUUUUCUUCCCACAACUGUAAGAUAGCCAAUGUAUUUGGAAGCUUGGAGGAUCAUCGAACUCAGGACCUGGCAUUCACAAGGCAGGCACAGUGCCACUGAGCUAAAUCCCCAGUUCCAGAGCUGAAAUUCUUACAACGUGAUGGUGCAUUGCUUUCCAAUUUCCUCUUUAUAACCUCUUUCAAAAUGUUAGGAAGGAAUCGUAUCUAGGCAAUAGCACAUAAAAUCAGCUUUAAGAUGAAAAGUUUUUGUAUUUAUUGAUUCUGCAAAUGGGUAGGGAUGGUUUGUGUGUGUGUUUAACUAUUUCAGGAAAGUCAAAGUCAUAUUUUAUUCAAAUCAUAUUUUAAAUUAGAGGCCACAAACUGGCAGCCCAUGAGUAGAACUUGACUUACAGAUUACUUUUGUCUUCUCCCCCGUGCCCGUGUACUUUCUUCUAUCAUUGAAACUACAAUUUUUAAUUUUGAAAAUUUAAACAAAACAUCGAUAUAUGCUUUACCUAGACUCACUAAUUUUUACAUAUUUCAGCAUGCUUUGUCGUUUUAUCUUACACACCCCCACAGGUUUUAACAAUAGAUUUUAUACAUUAUUUCCCUUUACACCAUAGCUCUUCAAAGGUCACAGCUGGUCUGAGAGAUACAAAUUCUUCUUACAUGUUAUUAAGGGGAGACUCCUGACCAUAAGCUCCACAGGGUUACUUUUUCAAUAUGUAUUUUCUCAAAACAAUGAUAACCCCAUAAAUUCAGUAUAAUAUUCAUUUUAGAUUUUUUUUUUUUUGGUACUGGGGAUCGAA